Molecule: transfer RNA, 72 nt
Filed under: Phrynosoma platyrhinos (Desert horned lizard)
Lineage: Eukaryota; Metazoa; Chordata; Lepidosauria; Squamata; Phrynosomatidae
Description: tRNA-OTHER
Source: RNAcentral
GCCAGAAUGGUGUAGUGGUUUGAGUGUUGGACUAUGAUUCUGGUGACCAGGGUUCGAAUCCCUGCUUGGUCA